UUUUUUAAAUAACUCUUACAAAUACCAACUUUAAAUUUUAUGAUGUGACAUAAAUGAAGUUUCCCUUAAAUGGCUUAUUGUGCUGUUCCCUGAGCACAAUGAAUAUAGUGUUGUACCAACGAAUUGGGUCACAAAAAAUGAAUUAACUCAAGUAAAUUAUUGCUACUGGCCUCCAGGCACUGUUAACAGUGAUGUUAUACAAAAAGCAGAUGAGCCGGGGUUAACCUGGAAAAUGUAUAGAGUAAAAAUUUAUGGUGGAAAUAAAACUUUUGAUAAUUUUAAUAAAGCAUGGCAUCAACAAGUUAUUAUUAAAGAUUCAUCUAAUGAAACAGGUAAUGAAGAAAAUAUGACUCUAAGACAUAAACAAAAAGGAAAGCUUAUCUCACAAAAUGUAUUGUUUAACGUAACUGAUGAAAGU
Molecule: long non-coding RNA, 418 nt
Organism: Daktulosphaira vitifoliae (grape phylloxera)
Lineage: Eukaryota; Metazoa; Arthropoda; Insecta; Hemiptera; Phylloxeridae
Exons: 3
Source: RefSeq, a predicted model, not a curated record